Long non-coding RNA from Bos taurus (domestic cattle), 820 nucleotides. The record is from Ensembl. NCBI's taxonomy places the organism in Eukaryota, Metazoa, Chordata, Mammalia, Artiodactyla, Bovidae.
CCUCGCCCCGGCAACUAACCCAGUUUAGUCAGACCUUCCAAUGUUAAGGAAGCUUCUAUAUUUAGACCGUGUUCCCUGCCUGAGGAUGAACUGUACUGGCUGCAGUGUCACACCUUAACACAGCUCUGCUCCUGUCCUCUGUGCUCGCUGGGGGAAUCAGCAGCCUGCCCUGGCAUGUGGACUUAAGGAUUGUUGCUAGAUAAUUGAUGAAAAUGGCACCCCACUCCAGUACUCUUGCCUGGAAAAUCCCAUGGAUGGAGGAGCCUGGUGGGCUGCAGUCCAUGGGGUUGCUGAAGUUAUGAAAGGAAGAAACUUAAAUAUGAACAGAUGACUCAUUGGAAAAGACCCUGAUGCUGGGAAAGAUUGAAGGCAGAAAGAGAAGAAAGUGACAGAGGAUGAGAGAGUCGGAUGGCAUCACCAAUUCAAUGGACAUGAACUUGGGCAAACUCUGGGAGAUGGUGAAGGACAAGGAAGCCUGUCGUGCUGCUAUCCAUGGGGUUGCAAAGAGUCAGACACGACUUGGUGACUGAACAACAACGACAAUAGGUAAAGAGCAAUCAAAAUGUGGAGAUAUCUGUAAAAAGAAGAGAGAGAGCAAAGGCAUGCUUAUGAUGAAUAUGAUAAGACCAAAUGCUUCAAUUUGAAAAGCAAUGACAUAGUACAAGAGAUUGAAGCUGAAAAAGUAAAGCUGGAAAAUUAUUUUGAAUGGACUAUUUAAGAAGAAUUGCUUCCCUGAAUCAGCCUAAUUAAUGUCUUGGGGGUUGGGCCUUAUUUAAUCGUGUAUAUAUCUUGUUACCUGAUCAUAAGGGUUUAUUAAAGC